Molecule: ribosomal RNA, 198 nt
Filed under: uncultured bacterium
Lineage: Bacteria
Description: partial 16S ribosomal RNA
Rfam family: Bacterial small subunit ribosomal RNA
Source: RNAcentral
ACGCUCGACACCUACGGGNGGCAGCAGUUGGGAAUAUUGGACAAUGGAGGAAACUCUGAUCCAGUGACGCCGCGUGAAGGAAGAAGGUCUUCGGAUUGUAAACUUAUUUUGUCAGGGAAGAAAAAUGACUGUACCUGAAGAAAAGCACCGGCUAACUACGUGCCAGCAGCCACGGUAAUCUGAGCGGGCUGGCAAGGC